CAGUUCGGAUUGUAGGCUGCAACUCGCCUACAUGAAGUUGGAAUCGCUAGUAAUCGCGAAUCAGAAUGUCGCGGUGAAUACGUUCCCGGGUCUUGUACACACCGCCCGUCACACCAUGGGAGCUGGUAACACCCGAAGUCGGUAGUCUAACCGCAAGGAGGACGCUGCCGAAGGUGGGAUUAGCGACUGGGGUGAAGUCGUAACAAGGUAGC
Molecule: ribosomal RNA, 212 nt
Filed under: uncultured bacterium
Lineage: Bacteria
Description: partial 16S ribosomal RNA
Rfam family: Bacterial small subunit ribosomal RNA
Source: RNAcentral